UACGUAGGGGGCAAGCGUUGUCCGGAUUUAUUGGGCGUAAAGAGCGUGUAGGCGGCCCGAUUAGUCCGCUGUGAAAGUCCAGGGCUCAACCCUGGAAUGCCGGUGGAUACUGUCGGGCUAGAGUCCGGAAGGGGCGAGUGGAAUUCCAGGUGUAGCGGUGAAAUGCGUAGAUAUCUGGGAGAAUACCCGUGGCGAAGGCGGGCAUCUGGGGGAUUCCUGACGCUGAGGCGCGAAAGCUAGGGGAGCGAACGGG
This 253-nucleotide ribosomal RNA is filed under the name uncultured bacterium. RNAcentral's name for it is "partial 16S ribosomal RNA". It matches the Rfam family "Bacterial small subunit ribosomal RNA", at positions 524 to 776 of the family's 1533-position model. The record is from RNAcentral.